RNAcentral lists this ribosomal RNA (273 nucleotides) under uncultured Glomus. RNAcentral describes it as "partial 18S ribosomal RNA". It matches the Rfam family "Eukaryotic small subunit ribosomal RNA", at positions 548 to 820 of the family's 1831-position model. The record is from RNAcentral. Lineage: Eukaryota; Fungi; Glomeromycota; Glomeromycetes; Glomerales; Glomeraceae.
UUGGAGGGCAAGUCUGGUGCCAGCAGCCGCGGUAAUUCCAGCUCCAAUAGCGUAUAUUAAAGUUGUUGCAGUUAAAAAGCUCGUAGUUGAAUUUCGGGAUUGACGUAAUGGUCAUGCCUUAAGGGGUAUGAACUGUUACUGUUGAUUUCUCACCUUCUGGAGAAACUUGAUGUCCUUUAUUGGGUGUCUUGCGGAUCCAGGACCUUUACCUUGAAAAAAUUAGAGUGUUUAAAGCAGGCAUUUUUGCUCGAAUACAUUAGCAUGGAAUAAUAG